GACGAACGCUGGCGGCGUGCUUAACACAUGCAAGUCGAACGGAAAGGCCCUGCUUUUGUGGGGUGCUCGAGUGGCGAACGGGUGAGUAACACGUGAGUAACCUGCCCUUGACUUUGGGAUAACUUCAGGAAACUGGGGCUAAUACCGGAUAGGAGCUCCUGCUGCAUGGGGGGGGUUGGAAAGUUUCGGCGGUUGGGGAUGGACUCGCGGCUUAUCAGCUUGUGGGUGGGGUAGUGGCUUACCAAGGCUUUGACGGGUAGCCGGCCUGAGAGGGUGACCGGCCACAUUGGGACUGCGAUACGGCCCAGACUCCUACGGGAGGCAGCAGUGGGGAGUAUUGCACAGUGGGCGGAAGCCUGAUGCAGCAACGCCGCGUGCGGGAUGACGGCCUUCGGGUUGUAAACCGCUUUCGCCUGUGACGAAGCGUGAGUGACGGUAAUGGGUAAAGAAGCACCGGCUAACUACGUG
This 468-nucleotide ribosomal RNA is filed under the name uncultured bacterium. Its description in RNAcentral is "partial 16S ribosomal RNA". It matches the Rfam family "Bacterial small subunit ribosomal RNA", at positions 28 to 507 of the family's 1533-position model. The record is from RNAcentral.